This 90-nucleotide transfer RNA is filed under the name Gammaproteobacteria bacterium. Its description in RNAcentral is "tRNA-Ser". It matches the Rfam family "tRNA". From Rfam's summary of the family: Transfer RNA (tRNA) molecules are approximately 80 nucleotides in length. Their secondary structure includes four short double-helical elements and three loops (D, anti-codon, and T loops). Further hydrogen bonds mediate the characteristic L-shaped molecular structure. tRNAs have two regions of fundamental functional importance: the anti-codon, which is responsible for specific mRNA codon recognition, and the 3' end, to which the tRNAs corresponding amino acid is attached (by aminoacyl-tRNA synthetases). tRNAs cope with the degeneracy of the genetic code in two manners: having more than one tRNA (with a specific anti-codon) for a particular amino acid; and 'wobble' base-pairing, i.e. permitting non-standard base-pairing at the 3rd anti-codon position. Lineage: Bacteria; Pseudomonadati; Pseudomonadota; Gammaproteobacteria. The record is from RNAcentral.
GGAGAGGUGGCCGAGCGGCUGAAGGCAACGGUUUGCUAAAUCGUCGAACUGGUUUUACCGGUUCCGCGGGUUCGAAUCCCGCCCUCUCCG